RNAcentral lists this long non-coding RNA (321 nucleotides) under Zonotrichia albicollis (white-throated sparrow). RNAcentral describes it as "lncRNA (ENSZALG00000000030.1)". The record is from RNAcentral. Lineage: Eukaryota; Metazoa; Chordata; Aves; Passeriformes; Passerellidae.
GUGACACCUUUGAAAGACUGCACUCAGCUUUAUCCAUCAAUGUUUCUCUCCCAGGUUUGAUGCUUUGCAGGUGCUCUGUGUGCACCCUCACUGCAUCCAGCGGGGUGACCAUGCUCCACAUCUCCCAGGGUCACUUUUCCCUCCAAAGGAAAGGCCUCUCAGGAGCAGCAGAUAGAAAACUAGCCCUGGGAACUCUGCAUUUUUUGGAGGAAACCUGCACAAUAUGCUUUUCAAGCCUGCUGUUCCAGAAGAGCAACUCAACACGUGCUGAACUUUGAUCCCCUGUCAAGGAAUAAAGCUGAACCGAGGGGGAAAGGAGCA